RNAcentral lists this ribosomal RNA (536 nucleotides) under Bifidobacterium longum subsp. suillum. Its description in RNAcentral is "bacterial SSU rRNA". It matches the Rfam family "Bacterial small subunit ribosomal RNA", at positions 158 to 708 of the family's 1533-position model. Lineage: Bacteria; Bacillati; Actinomycetota; Actinomycetes; Bifidobacteriales; Bifidobacteriaceae. The record is from RNAcentral.
GGGUGGUAAUGCCGGAUGCUCCAGUUGAUCGCAUGGUCUUCUGGGAAAGCUUUCGCGGUAUGGGAUGGGGUCGCGUCCUAUCAGCUUGACGGCGGGGUAACGGCCCACCGUGGCUUCGACGGGUAGCCGGCCUGAGAGGGCGACCGGCCACAUUGGGACUGAGAUACGGCCCAGACUCCUACGGGAGGCAGCAGUGGGGAAUAUUGCACAAUGGGCGCAAGCCUGAUGCAGCGACGCCGCGUGAGGGAUGGAGGCCUUCGGGUUGUAAACCUCUUUUAUCGGGGAGCAAGCGAGAGUGAGUUUACCCGUUGAAUAAGCACCGGCUAACUACGUGCCAGCAGCCGCGGUAAUACGUAGGGUGCAAGCGUUAUCCGGAAUUAUUGGGCGUAAAGGGCUCGUAGGCGGUUCGUCGCGUCCGGUGUGAAAGUCCAUCGCUUAACGGUGGAUCCGCGCCGGGUACGGGCGGGCUUGAGUGCGGUAGGGGAGACUGGAAUUCCCGGUGUAACGGUGGAAUGUGUAGAUAUCGGAAAAGAACA